UACGAAGGGGGCUAGCGUUGUUCGGAUUUACUGGGCGUAAAGCGCACGUAGGCGGAUCUUUAAGUCAGGGGUGAAAUCCCGAGGCUCAACCUCGGAACUGCCUUUGAUACUGGAGAUCUUGAGUUCGGGAGAGGUGAGUGGAACUGCGAGUGUAGAGGUGAAAUUCGUAGAUAUUCGCAAGAACACCAGUGGCGAAGGCGGCUCACUGGCCCGAUACUGACGCUGAGGUGCGAAAGCGUGGGGAGCAAACA
This 251-nucleotide ribosomal RNA is filed under the name uncultured Methylocystaceae bacterium. RNAcentral describes it as "partial 16S ribosomal RNA". It matches the Rfam family "Bacterial small subunit ribosomal RNA", at positions 524 to 774 of the family's 1533-position model. The record is from RNAcentral. Lineage: Bacteria; Pseudomonadati; Pseudomonadota; Alphaproteobacteria; Hyphomicrobiales; Methylocystaceae.